AACGCGAAGAACCUUACCAGGCCUUGACAUCCCGGUCGCGGCCCCUUGAAAGAGGGGCCUUCAGUUCGGCUGGACCGGUGACAGGUGCUGCAUGGCUGUCGUCAGCUCGUGUCGUGAGAUGUUGGGUUAAGUCCCGCAACGAGCGCAACCCUCGCCCUUAGUUGCCAUCAUUUAGUUGGGCACUCUAAGGGGACUGCCGGUGAUAAGCCGCGAGGAAGGUGGGGAUGACGUCAAGUCCUCAUGGCCCUUACGGCCUGGGCCACACACGUGCUACAAUGGCGGUGACAAUGGGCAGCAAAGGGGCGACCCGGAGCUAAUCUCAAAAAGCCGUCUCAGUUCGGAUUGCACUCUGCAACUCGGGUGCAUGAAGUCGGAAUCGCUAGUAAUCGCGGAUCAGCACGCCGCGGUGAAUACGUUCCCGGGCCUUGUACACACCGCUACAGU
Molecule: ribosomal RNA, 444 nt
Filed under: uncultured bacterium
Lineage: Bacteria
Description: bacterial SSU rRNA
Rfam family: Bacterial small subunit ribosomal RNA
Source: RNAcentral